GGGAGGCAGCAGUGAGGAAUAUUGGUCAAUGGGCGAAAGCCUGAACCAGCCAUGCCGCGUGAAGGAUGAAGGCCUUCUGGGUUGUAAACUUCUUUUAUCUGGGAAGAAAAACAUUGUUUCCACGAUGUCCGACGGUACCAGAGGAAUAAGCACCGGCUAACUCCGUGCCAGCAGCCGCGGUAAUACAGAGGGUGCAAGCGUUAUCCGGAUUUACUGGGUUUAAAGGGUGUGUAGGCGGGCUUUUAAGUCAGUGGUGAAAUCUCCGGGCUCAACCUGGAAACUGCCAUUGAUACUAUUAGUCUUGAAUUUUGUUGAGGUAGGCGGAAUAAGUCAUGUAGCGGUGAAAUGCAUAGAUAUGACUUAGAACACCAAUUGCGAAGGCAGCUUGCUAAACAAAUAUUGACGCUGAGGCACGAAAGCGUGGGGAUCAAACAGGAUUAGAUACCCCGGUAGU
Molecule: ribosomal RNA, 454 nt
Filed under: uncultured bacterium
Lineage: Bacteria
Description: bacterial SSU rRNA
Rfam family: Bacterial small subunit ribosomal RNA
Source: RNAcentral